GGAAUAUCUGGGCCCGGAGGUCAGAGGGGUCAGACAGAUGAACCUCUCAGGUGCCCAUCUUGUGUGCAGGUGGGUUGGGCACCACGGUUCCUCUGCUCCAAUGCUGUCCGUCUGGGAACAGGGAGCCUCAGAGCAGCUGGAAAAUGCGUGCUGAGUUGCAAGCAUGGAAACUGGCUUCCCUGGCCGGGUGUAUGGGGCUGCAGCCUUGCUGUCACAGGACCAGAUCACAGACGCACGGAGGACCUCAGCCACCCUAGGCACAGGGGCCGCUGCUUGUCCCCCUGGAAAGGAGAUGUGGAACAUCUGUGUCCCAGCCCCCAAACAGGCAGGCCCUAUCCCUGCCCAAAUUCGAACUGCUGUCACCAACUAGAACGGCACCCAGGAAGCUUCUGCAGAGACAGCUGUGCUGCCCCUUGCUUGGCCAGGAGGGAGGAGUAGACCUCCAUGUCUGGGGCCCAGGGGUACUACCACACAGAGCAGCACUGCCAGACUGGCUUUGCUGGUUCCUCUGUGACCAUGCUCAGCUGCAGGCCAGGAGGGAGACAGGGCCUGGGUGGCCUGCUGUCCAUUCGUCUGUCGUUCAUCCCUUGUCAUGUAGGGGCCGAGCACUUACUGCCGGGGACAUGGCACGCUUGGAAGCCAGAAGGAAACCAGAGCGUUCAGCUCGAGGCCUUCAGCAGCCGCCCAGGGCUUGGCUGAUGGCCCCAGGUGAUGGCUCCCAGCCUGACCUGGUUUCGUCCUUGACUCUCUGCCGGCCUCCACCUACUCUGCGAGAGGCCCACAGAACCGCCCUGGGGCAGGGCCAGGAUGGGAGGCUCACCGCCCCGCUCACCCUCCUUGCCUCCAGCCUUUCAAUGUUGUCCCCUUCACUUCAAAGCCAAUAUGCAUCUUCCUUGUGGGGACUAACAAAAACCAUUGAAUUUGUUCUCUCUUUUAGACUCUCUGUUAGAAUUUUCAUGUAUUUCUCUCUCUCUCUCUCUCUCUCUAUAUAUAUAUAUAAAGAGCUAUGUAUGGAGACAGAUGGAUAAAUACAGCUCGUUUCCAAAAUCGGCAUCACAUUGCACCUGUUUAUUUGUUUACAAGUUUUCAUUCUGUCACAAGCAUUUUCCUGACCUCAUCUGUGUGCCAGACCUGGUGACUGAAGCACGCUCUCCACCUCUCGGCGUUUCCCUUCCCGGGGGCAGGGCGGGGAGAGAGUGGAUGUCCAGUGUAUCUUAAUUUAUUUACACAUUGUUCUGGGGAAACUAACUUCAUCGCAGUGAGAAAUGACCUUCCUGCCACACUGCCCAGGGCACAGGGCAUCACAAAGAUAAAUGUGAUAUGAAAACAGUGCCCGGCCCCCGAGGAGUCAUGACGGCAACAGCCACAGUACAGAGCAGGUGUUGGCUCUGCAUCAGGCACAGGACACGGUCUUGGCAGUUUUGCAGAUUUUAAGUCCUUAAUCCCACAGCAACCUACAGGGUGGGUUCUAUCCUCAGCCCCGUUUUGUAGUUGAGGACUCUGGGGCGCGUCCUGGUUGAAGCCCUCAGAGGUUACUGUGCCCCUGAGGGCGGACCUAUCUAUGCUGCUCCGGCUGUGGCGGCUGGUUUGUGGUCUCCUCCUGCUACCACCUAGACGGCCGUGUGGAAGGCACAUCUGCUGCCGUCAGCUCUGGACACCGCCCCCUGCACCCAGCCGCACCCCAGUGCUCCUGCCCCCAGCCCUGGACACCCCAGCGGCUCCCUCAGGGUUAGAGGCGCUUGCUCAGUGCACCCCUGGUGGCGGGCCUGGGGCAGCGCAUCACCUCCUGUGUCCUUCAGCGGGGAGGUCACCGGCACCGUCCAAGAGGAGGCGACGGAGAGUCACUUCAUCAGUAGAGAAUUUUAACUCUCAUGAUCCACUAAAAGGGGAGGCUGGAAGGUGAAUGCAUUGGUGGCCCCCAGUUCAUGGGAAGGCCCGGGGCUUGAGCCAGACCCGGCGUGCCUGUGCGUAUCUGCUCCUCCAGGUCAGGGCGUGGAGCUUCCACAUGCAGCCCAGAAGUCAGAUACCCCCUGCACUGGCCCUCCCUGCCCUCUGACCUCCUGACCCAUGACCCCUCUGUAGAACAGACAGACAGACCUUCUUGGCACCUGUAUUUAGAGCAUCCUGGGCGCCUCGCAGGGCUGGACAAUCCUUGGUUCAUGGGGAAACACACCCCCAAGUAGAUCUUCCCACUAUAACCUGAGAUGUUUCACUCCACAAAAGAUGGAAGUCCUUCAAACUGUGGUCGUCCUGAGGCCCUUUGUGAGCCCUGGUGUCACCAGAUGCCCUGGUCCCAGUGACAUGGCAUCACGGAGGGCCUGCCUUGGCAGACAGGAGCUGAGUGCGACCGCCUAGCCAUUGCCCAGGGACCUGGGGGUGCUGAGGCCUUGGGAGGUGAGAAGCUUCCCAGGGAGACAGGACGACCAACACAGCCAGCCCUGAGUCGUCUGAGACCAGCCCAGGCCCGGGCAGGAGGUGAGGUGCUCUCCCCCAAGGCCCUCCCCUGUCCCCCGAGGCCUGUUGCCCCAGGAUGCCGCCUGCCUGACUAUCCCAAGAGCCCUGGGAGAAGCAGCAGGAGAGAGGGAGAGCCCUGUGCGAGCGGAGUGGGGCACAAGCCCUGGUGAGGACUGCCUGGGCGUCCCCACAUUCUCCCUUGGUCUUGGAGGGACAAGUUCUCUGGGGGGUGCAGCACACACACAGCAGGAGGUUGCCGCCUGUCAACUCCUUUUGGCCUCAGGACCCUGACCCACAUGACCUCUGCUGGGAGCAGGGGAGCGAGCCCUCCAGGCUGCAGGGUAGGACCGCGUCCACUCUGACAGGGCCUUGAGGCCGGGGGAGACUGGGCGCUCCCAUUCUAGAGAUAAGAAGACUAAGGAGCACUAAGGAGACUAAGGAGGCUGCUGGGUCACGGUCCUCAUUCUGGCCCACGUCACAAGUCCCCCACCCCAGUCAGUGGGGACCCGGCCCCGGCUUCUCACAGAGGUCCUUCAAACACCCCAACAACCCCGCUGCUUCCUUGGACGCUGCAGCUAGUGGGCCCCGGGGGGCAGCCUUGUUCCUCCCCGGUGGGCUCGCACCCCCGCACCCCGGGGCGUCCUGGCCCCUCCUUCUGUGUACACACCCCAGUGAAAGGCGUCCCGGGCUCCACCGGGUCAGCAUCUUAUUUGUUUCAAAACAGCCUCGCUGCUGUCAGGAGACAGGCUUCUGGGUCCAGCAACCCGACCUGGGCCCUGACAGCCACUCACUCGUGCGGCGGGGCCGGCCCCAGGGGGGAGGGGGCAUGUGCCCUCCCGCCUUGAGUCACAGCCCCUGUCUCUCGGAAAGCACGUUUCCCCACCCCUGCCCCGGGGUCCGCAGUCCGCAGUCCGGGCAGGCCGGAGCAGAAUUCCAGCGGGAGGCCCCGCCCUGCCAAGAUGUGCCGAGGGACGACCGCUCAAGCCAAG
Molecule: long non-coding RNA, 3443 nt
Filed under: Canis lupus familiaris (dog)
Lineage: Eukaryota; Metazoa; Chordata; Mammalia; Carnivora; Canidae
Description: lncRNA (ENSCAFG00000058830.1)
Source: RNAcentral